AAAGAUUAAGCCAUGCAUGUAUAAGUAUCGUUAUAUUAUCGUGAAACCGCGAACGGCUCAUUAUAACAGCUAUAAUUUACUUGAUCUUGACUUCCUACUUGGAUAACUGUGGUAAUUCUAGAGCUAAUACAUGCACCAAAGCUCCGACCUUACGGGAAGAGCGCAUUUACUCGAACAAAACCAAGCGGCUUCGGCCGUUCGCAGUUGACUCAGAAUAACUAAGCUGAUCGCAUGGUCUUGAACCGGCGACGUGUCUUUCAAGUAUCUGCCUUAUCAACUUUCGAUGGUAGUGUAUCUGACCACCAUGGUGGUGACGGGUAACGGAGGAUAAGGGUUCGACUCCGGAGAAGGGGCCUGAGAAAUGGCCACUACGUCUAAGGAUGGCAGCAGGCGCGCAAAUUACCCACUCUCAGAAUGAGGAGGUAGUGACGAGAAAUAACGAGACCGUUCUCUACGAGGCCGGUCAUCGGAAUGGGUACAAUUUAAACCCUUUAACGAGUAUCUAUGAGAGGGCAAGUCUGGUGCCAGCAGCCGCGGUAAUUCCAGCUCUCAAAAUGCAUAGAAUUAUUGCUGCGGUUAAAAAGCUCGUAGUUGGAUCUGUGCCGUUGGACCCGGUCCACCUUAACGGGUGCGCACUGGGCUCCCCGGCUUUCUGCCGGUUUUCCUGUCGUGGCCUUAACUGGUUGCGGCGGGUGGCUGGCGAUUUUACUUUGAACAAGUCAGAGUGCUUAAAACAGGCGUUUCGCUUGAAUGUUCGUGCACGGAAUAAUAAAAAAGGAUUUCGGUUCUAUUUUAUUGGUUUUAUAGACUGAGAUAAUGGUUAACAGAGACAAACGGGGGCAUUCGUAUUGCUGCGUGAGAGGUGAAAUUCUUGGACCGCAACAAGACGAACUACAGCGAAAGCAUUUUGCCAGAA
Molecule: ribosomal RNA, 916 nt
Filed under: Pratylenchoides sp. PrChSp1
Lineage: Eukaryota; Metazoa; Nematoda; Chromadorea; Rhabditida; Merliniidae
Description: SSU rRNA
Rfam family: Eukaryotic small subunit ribosomal RNA
Source: RNAcentral